This 77-nucleotide transfer RNA is filed under the name Podarcis lilfordi (Lilford's wall lizard). RNAcentral's name for it is "tRNA.Lys". The record is from RNAcentral. Lineage: Eukaryota; Metazoa; Chordata; Lepidosauria; Squamata; Lacertidae.
GCCAGUUGGGAUGGCUCACUCAGUAGAGAAUGAGACUCUUAAUCUCAGGGUCAAGGGUUCAAGCCCCAUGGUGGGCA